RNAcentral lists this long non-coding RNA (248 nucleotides) under Ananas comosus (pineapple). RNAcentral describes it as "long non-coding RNA (ACOM_LNC021976)". Lineage: Eukaryota; Viridiplantae; Streptophyta; Magnoliopsida; Poales; Bromeliaceae. The record is from RNAcentral.
AAAAUUGAUUGCAAGUUUUGUCGAAUUGAGUGGAGGGUAUAGAAAGUAUAGAUUCUUGGUAAUGGGAUUAUGGGAGUUUAAUUAGUAUGUAAAUUAGAUAAAAUAAUGGGUAUUUUAAAUUAAAUGGUUUGUUAGAGGAAAAUUAAUUAAUAAAUUACCUACUUUGAACUAAGUAAAAGAAAUGGAAUUCUAGGAUUAGUUAAUUAAUGUAAUAGAGAGAGAGAGAGAGAGAGAGAGAGAGAGAGAGA